AUGCAAAUGGCAUGUGCUCCGUUUGCCUCCAGGACCUGCAGGAGCACAGCUGGCCUCAGUGUCAACAGGAUUCCUCAUGUGGGACGGAUCUGGAAGAAUCCAGGGCUCCGGCUGCACAUCCAGACGAAUCCAGCAACCACAAAGGACAUGGUCUGGGCUGCUACAGAACCAGCAGAGGGACAGAGGCAGCUGGAAGCGUCCAAGCAGACGGUUAGAGAUCAAGAGACUGAGCUGAAGGAAAUCCAAAAGGCAUCUCGUGGACUCAAGGUAAGAUUAAAAAGUGGAAUAAUUUUCCAAACAAUUCUUCCUAUCCCAGAUUAAUAGACUUAGGCUAUAAGAAGGUGACAGGAUCUUCACUGAACUGUUCGGUGUUCACUGUUUGGUGAACAAAUUAGUUGUUGCCUUCAAACCAAUUUUAUUCCAAAGUAUGGCACCCUUUUGUCUUAACAGUGUUCAACCUAAACUGCACCUUUGUGGUCAGAAUUUCCAUACAUCCAAAAGCAACAAGUACAGACUGUUUGACUGGAAAAAAACCUUGCGGAGAAAACCAGUCAGUGACGUACAGUAAGAUCUGGUGGAUUACAGCAUCUUAAUGUAGAGCUGGUAAGUGGGCUGAGGUUGAAAGUAGUUCCAUAUGGGACCUGUACCUACCUGUAAAACCCCCCUGAAGAUGCUAAAGGAAUAUGAAGAUAGAAAACAAACAACAACUUGUAUUUCAGUGCUUGUGCAUUCCCUCCAAGACACUCUGCGUUCCCUCACAAAACCAUAUGCAAAGUUUCUCAAGUAAAUGCAAAAGUUUUGGGAGUGACCUCCAAGUUUUGUAAGGGGACACAAAACCUUUGCGUGCGGACACUACAUUUCUCAGGGGAACGGAAAAGCACUGAAACACAAUUCUUCCUCUUAUCUCAACAGUCAUAUCCUAUGUCUUUUCAAGACAAAUCAAAUCUAGUUUAGCUUUAGCCCUAAUGAAACACACUUGAAAACUCUAACCCAAGUCUUCAGGAUUACUGGAAAUCUACAGUUUGUGUGAUCAGUGUUGAGGCUAAAAAGGCUUGCACCAGGGACUCCGUGGUUUUUAACAGAACACUUGGGUUUUACAAAAUCCUUCAUGUCUUCCACCACUUGCAGAAAUGUCUGCAGAUUCCCAAAUAACCAACCCAUUCUGUCACAUCUCUGAAUAAAAAUGAUGGAAAUUAAAGCA
This is a long non-coding RNA of Cyprinus carpio (common carp), 1201 nucleotides long. The record is from Ensembl. NCBI's taxonomy places the organism in Eukaryota, Metazoa, Chordata, Actinopteri, Cypriniformes, Cyprinidae.